CCUACGGGAGGCAGCAGUGAGGAAUAUUGGUCAAUGGACGAGAGUCUGAACCAGCCAAGUAGCGUGAAGGAUGACUGCCCUCUGGGUUGUAAACUUCUUUUAUAUGGGAAUAAAUUGUUCCACGUGUGGGAUUUUGUAUGUACCAUAUGAUUACGGAUAGGCCAACUCCGUGCCCGCAGCAGCGGUACUACGGAGGAUCCGAGCGUUAUCCGGAUUUAUUGGGUUUAACGGGAGCGUAGGGGGAUUGUUAAGUCAGUUGUUAAAGUUUGCGGCUCAACCGUAAAAUUGCAGUUGAUACUGGCAGUCUUGAGUACAGUAGAGGUGGGCGGAAUUCCUGGUGUAGCGGUGAAAUGCGUAGAUAUCACGAAGAACUCCGAUGGCGAAGGCAGCUCACUGGACUGCAACUGACACUGAGGCUCGAAAGUGUGGGUAGCAAACAGGAUUAGAUACCCGAGUAGUC
This 460-nucleotide ribosomal RNA is filed under the name uncultured bacterium. Its description in RNAcentral is "partial 16S ribosomal RNA". It matches the Rfam family "Bacterial small subunit ribosomal RNA", at positions 338 to 795 of the family's 1533-position model. The record is from RNAcentral.